Long non-coding RNA from Eptesicus fuscus (big brown bat), 1402 nucleotides. RefSeq lists it as uncharacterized. The transcript has 5 exons. The record is from RefSeq and is a predicted model, not a curated record. Lineage: Eukaryota; Metazoa; Chordata; Mammalia; Chiroptera; Vespertilionidae.
UGGGACACAGCACCCUCCCUAUCCCCUCCUUGACUAUCUCCCCUAUCCCUGCUUCACCCACCUCCCACCACUUUGAGCAACACCCCUCCCACCUUUAAACAGAGCCAGGAAAUCCCCCCUGGAGGAAAGGGGCGAAUGCAGGUGGAAACCCCCACCUGUUCCGGAUCCUCUUUCCAGUGGCGCCAGCACAGGCAGUGACCUUUUCCAGAAGCCUUGUCCUCCUGGGGCAAUCUCCCUGCUGGCUUUCUCACCCCACCCCCAACCCAUACCAUGGGAGCCUGAGUGCCCAGAACCACCAGCUGUUGGACAGGAAGCAUGUGACAGGAACGGAGCCCUCCUCCCGCGGUCCCCUCCAGAAGAGCCUCCAGACUGGACCAGCUGCAGUGACCUCUUGUGCCCCCAUCUGCUCCGGGAAGGCGAAGCCGAGGCCUCAGCCAACCUGGAAUCUGCUGAGUGUAUCCUUAAUAAAUUCGCUCGCUCUGCUUCAACACUGCUUUCUAUCACUCAUCUGAAUUCUUUCUCGUGGGUGUGACAAGAGCCAAGGAGGGGAGGAGCGCUCUGACUCGGGCAGCUCUCCGGUAACGUUGGUACCUGCAGUCUCCAAAAGGGCACCUCCCAGCCUUCACCAUUGCAGAGGCCCCUGUCCAUCGCACAACAGCGACCCAGCAGCUCAUCGCCGCGCCACCUCCAGCUCCGUCGUCACUUCCCAUCAGUACCGCCCAAGUCCACCACCAGAGGCACCGCCAUCCUUCACUCAGUCACCAGUGGCCGGAUAUCUGUCAAGAAUAUAUCUCCAAAAAGAGAAAAAGAAAAGAAUGUAUCUCCUUGAGGAAUCGUGUUGGGCUGUUGUCAUAGCAACAAGCAAUACAGGUGAGGACCCUACCCCAUACAGUCUGGUGGGGCAGACCGAAGACAAACACGUAAAAAGAUUUAGAAAACAAGAAGCACAAUGGAUGACCCAGCAACCCCACUGCUAGGAUUUAACCUGCCCCAGCGGCUUGAGCCAUGAUGGCUCCGGGUGGGAGACACCAGAUGUGCGUCCCCGGCGAAUGGACUGGCAGGUUGGGGGCCAGCUACACAACGAAAAGAAAGGGGCAAACUACUUACAGAGAAAGAACUGCAAAAGCAUUGGGGUGACCAGGUGCUGUGUGACUUCCUUCAUGGAAGUCCCAGAAAACACACCCUGUGCCAGCACAUCUGGGGUGGCAGGGCCCAGAGCAUGAACGCCAAGGCUCUGCAGCUUUUUGAGGUGAUAGGAGUGUUCUGUGUCACAAGAGGGGUCAUUACAUAACUUAUACAUUUGUCAAAACUCAUCAAAUUGUGUGUUUGAAAUUGGUGAAUUCAUUGUAUGUAAAUUAUACUUCAACAAAGCUUGAUUUUUUUUUUAAGACAUGGUUUUAUU